GAGAAGGAUUUGCUCAGGACAGGAUGGUUCUUCCAUUUCCAAAGAGGGCUCCAGUCACAUGGGAGAGAGAAACCUUCCAAGUGCCUGCACCCCCAGGAAAAUUCUUACCAUGGAAGCCUGGGCCUGAAGACUCUGGUCAGAGGAGGGUGGGCUUCCCAGGGCUUCCUGGUCACGGUGGUGGGCCUCUGAGUGCAUGAAGCACUCCUUUGGAUUGGGGAGAGCAGGGAGAACUAACUCAGUAUCUACUGUGUACAAGGCACCUCCACAGCUGUUAUCAUCCUGACAGCCAGAUAUGGUGGAUAAUCUGAUCAUAUCAUGUUUUAGAGACGAGGAAGCUGAGGCUCAGGAGGUCAAGUGACUGUCCUAAGUCACACAGUGGUAUGGGAGCAGCCAGAUCAGUGAAUCCAUCACCUGGGCUUUGCCGGGGCCUGCACCCCCGCCUCGGGAAGUGCCCUCUUCAG
RNAcentral lists this long non-coding RNA (461 nucleotides) under Homo sapiens (human). RNAcentral describes it as "HSALNT0189100". Lineage: Eukaryota; Metazoa; Chordata; Mammalia; Primates; Hominidae. The record is from RNAcentral.